This 274-nucleotide ribosomal RNA is filed under the name uncultured bacterium. Its description in RNAcentral is "partial 16S ribosomal RNA". It matches the Rfam family "Bacterial small subunit ribosomal RNA", at positions 523 to 796 of the family's 1533-position model. The record is from RNAcentral.
AUACGGAGGGGGUUAGCGUUGUUCGGAAUUACUGGGCGUAAAGCGUACGUAGGCGGAUUAGUAAGUUAGGGGUGAAAUCCCGAGGCUCAACCUCGGAACUGCCUCUAAAACUGCUAGUCUUGAGUUCGAGAGAGGUGAGUGGAAUUCCUAGUGUAGAGGUGAAAUUCGUAGAUAUUAGGAGGAACACCAGUGGCGAGGGCGGCUCACUGGCUCGAUACUGACGCUGAGGUACGAAAGUGUGGGGAGCAAACAGGAUUAGAAACCCUAGUAGUCC